CUACGGGAGGCUCCAGUGGGGAAUAUUGCACAAUGGGGGAAGCCCUGAUGCAGCAACGCCGCGUGGAGGAUGACGCAUUUCGGUGUGUAAACUCCUUUUAUAUAGGAAGAUAAUGACGGUACUAUAUGAAUAAGCACCGGCUAACUCCGCGCCAGCAGCCGCGGUAAUAGGGAGGGUGCAAGCGUUACUCGGAAUCACUGGGCGUAAAGCGCGCGCAGGCGGCCCCUUAAGUUGGAUGUGAAAGCCUACGGCUUAACCGUAGAACUGCAUCCAAAACUGAGGGGCUAGAGUCUGGGAGGGGAAGAUGGAAUUAGUUGUGUAGGGGUAAAAUCCGUAGAGAUAACUAGGAAUACCAAAAGCGAAGGCGAUCUUCUGGAACAGUACUGACGCUGAGGCGCGAAAGCGUGGGGAGCAAACAGGAUUAGAUACCCUAGUAGUC
Molecule: ribosomal RNA, 439 nt
Filed under: uncultured bacterium
Lineage: Bacteria
Description: partial 16S ribosomal RNA
Rfam family: Bacterial small subunit ribosomal RNA
Source: RNAcentral